Molecule: ribosomal RNA, 467 nt
Filed under: uncultured bacterium
Lineage: Bacteria
Description: partial 16S ribosomal RNA
Rfam family: Bacterial small subunit ribosomal RNA
Source: RNAcentral
GAUGAACGCUGGCGGCGUGCUUAACACAUGCAAGUCGAACGGCAAGGCCCAAGCUUGCUUGGGUACUCGAGUGGCGAACGGGUGAGUAACACGUGGGUGAUCUGCCCUGCACUUCGGGAUAAGCCUGGGAAACUGGGUCUAAUACCGUAUAGGACCCCUUCUUGGGUGUUGUGGUGGAAAGUUUUUUCGGUGUGGGAUGAGCUCGCGGCCUAUCGGCUUUUUGGUGGGGUCAUGGCCUACCACGGCGUCGACGGGUAGCCGGCCUGAGAGGGUGUACGGCGGCAUUGGGACUGAGGGACGGCAGAGACGGCGACGAGAGGCAGCAGUGGGGAAUAUUGAACAAGGGGCGCAAGCCUGGUGCAGCGACGCCGCGUGGGGGAUGACGGUCUUCGGGUUGAAGACUCCUUGCGCGAGGGACGAAGCGUUUUGUGACGGUACCUGGAGAAGAAGCACCGGCUAACUACGUG